This 936-nucleotide long non-coding RNA is filed under the name Olea europaea subsp. europaea. The record is from RNAcentral. Lineage: Eukaryota; Viridiplantae; Streptophyta; Magnoliopsida; Lamiales; Oleaceae.
CUCCCUUCCAUGGAGGUUAUCUUCCUCCUACAAUGGAGUGUCUUUUAUAUGGAACUCAUUCCGGUUCCUUUGUAUUUCUUUCCUCCUUUUAUGGAGUUCAAUUCAAUAUUGUUUCUUGCUUCAAUGAUGAAGCCUUUCAUAUUGUUUUCAUUCAAGAAUUUAAUAUGGUAUCAGAGCAUUUUCUCAUGGCUUCUAGCUACUGCUACUAUUUCAGUUCUGAAAUGGAGCUGACCUCAAGGAUAGUGAAAUCUGAAGAUAACUUUGGCUUCACAUAGUGAAAUCCUCUCCUGUUCAGAACCAUAUACAUUCUGCGCUAUGAAUCCAGAAUGCUGCUCACGAUUUGGAAGUCUCUUGUUUGAAGAUUUCAUUUCAAAUUGCCAGAUCAUUAUAGACGUGAAAAGUUGUGGACAGUUCUAUUUCUAUUUACUUACAAAUUACAGUUAGUUUGGCAAUGCUUCCAAGUCUCAGAGUUCUCUAUCAAAAAUUAUUGGUGGAAGUCAUGCAUUGGGUUCUGUUCUCGUGGCAGCCAAUUAUUAUGGCAGAGAUAAGAACACACAGGAAUUACUAGAGCACAUCAACACGCAGGAAUGUUUUUUUUCUCUCUCCAAUACAUUCAAUACUUUCUUUAAUCUUCAAGAUGGACUAUUGUUGAUCUUCCAAGUCCAUCUUGAGGGGGGUGUAUCAGAAUAUUCUAGCUUACACCAGAAUCUUCCAACCCCAAUUCCCAGAUUCUUGAUCCCAGAUAUCUCAGUUCCAACGGAUCAGAUUCAACUCCAGCUUCUUCCACAGAUCAUCCUAGCUGUCUCCAGUUGUCCACAGCUGUGUUAGUUAGUGGUUAUGAUAAUUAGGUUAGUUGUUAGUUAGUUGGUCUCUUACUCUAUAAAUACAUCACUGGGUGUUCAUUGUAGUUCAUUGGAGAAUUUCUUCUUCCAAUCC